AAUCAACGCUGGCGGCGUGCCUCAGACAUGCAAGUCGAACGCGAAAGUUUCCUUCGGGGAACAAGUAGAGUGGCGCACGGGUGAGUAACACGUAGGUAAUCUACCUUUGGAUGGGGAAUAACAAUCGGAAACGGUUGCUAAUACCGCAUAAUGCAGCGGCACCUAAUGGUGACAGUUGUUAAAGCGGGGGAUCGAAAGACCUCGCGUCUGAAGGAGGAGCCUGCGGCGGAUUAGCAGUUGGUAAGGUAAUGGCUUACCAAGGCUACGAUCCGUAACCGGCCUGAGAGGGCGGUCGGUCACACUGACACUGACAUACGGGUCAGACUCCGUACGGGAGGCAGCA
This 343-nucleotide ribosomal RNA is filed under the name uncultured bacterium. RNAcentral describes it as "bacterial SSU rRNA". It matches the Rfam family "Bacterial small subunit ribosomal RNA", at positions 32 to 353 of the family's 1533-position model. The record is from RNAcentral.